UGGGGAAUUUUGGACAAUGGGGGAAACCCUGAUCCAGCCAUCCCGCGUGUGCGAUGAAGGCCUUCGGGUUGUAAAGCACUUUUGGCAGGAAAGAAACGUCAUGGGUUAAUACCCCGUGAAACUGACGGUACCUGCAGACUAAGCACCGGCUAACUACGUGCCAGCAGCCGCGGUAAUACGUAGGGUGCACGCGUUAAUCGGAAUUACUGGGCGUAAAGCGUGCGCAGGCGGUUCGGAAAGAAAGAUGUGAAAUCCCAGAGCGCAACUUUGGAACUGAAUUUUUAACUACCGGGCUAGAGUGUGUCAGAGGGAGGUGGAAUUCCGCAUGUAGCAGUGAAAUGCGUAGAUAUGCGGAGGAACACCGAUGGCGAAGGCAGCCUCCUGGGAUAACACUGACGCUCAUGCACGAAAGCGUGGGGAGCAAACAGG
Molecule: ribosomal RNA, 429 nt
Filed under: Acidobacteriota bacterium
Lineage: Bacteria; Pseudomonadati; Acidobacteriota
Description: Acidobacteria bacterium partial 16S ribosomal RNA
Rfam family: Bacterial small subunit ribosomal RNA
Source: RNAcentral